Molecule: ribosomal RNA, 291 nt
Filed under: uncultured bacterium
Lineage: Bacteria
Description: partial 16S ribosomal RNA
Rfam family: Bacterial small subunit ribosomal RNA
Source: RNAcentral
GUGCCAGCAGCCGCGGUAAUACGUAGGGGGCGAGCGUUGUCCGGAAUUAUUGGGCGUAAAGCGCGCGCAGGCGGUUUUUUAAGUCUGGGGUAUAAGCCCGGGGCUCAACCCUGGGAGGCCCUGGAAACUGGGGAACUGGAGUGCAGGAGAGGGAAGCGGAAUUCCACGUGUAGCGGUGAAAUGCGUAGAGAUGUGGAGGAACACCAGUGGCGAAGGCGGCUUUCUGGCCUGUAACUGACGCUGAGGCGCGAAAGCGUGGGGAGCAAACAGGAUUAGAUACCCUCGUAGUCC